This 199-nucleotide unclassified non-coding RNA is filed under the name Glomeraceae sp. RNAcentral describes it as "partial contains 5.8S ribosomal RNA and internal transcribed spacer 2". The stretch from base 1 to 65 matches the Rfam family "5.8S ribosomal RNA", at positions 84 to 154 of the family's 154-position model. The record is from RNAcentral. Lineage: Eukaryota; Fungi; Glomeromycota; Glomeromycetes; Glomerales; Glomeraceae.
GUGAAUCAUCGAAUUUUUGAACGCAAAUUGCACUCUCCUCGGAGAGUAUGCCUGUUUGGGGGUCAUUAGAAUAAAAAAUCGAAGCGUUGCUCUUUUUUUUUAUGGGUGUGCCCGUCGAAAUUAAUCGCCCUUUCAAUUGUUAAUUCAUGUCAAAGUGCCUUGAAAUUAACCCAUCCGGUACGAUUAAACCGUAUUUAAG